CCUACGGGAGGCAGCAGUGGGGAAUAUUGGGCAAUGGGCGCAAGCCUGACCCAGCAACGCCGCGUGAAGGAAGAAGGCUUUCGGGUUGUAAACUCCUUUUGUUAGGGACGAAACAAGCGACGGUACCUGACGAAUAAGCCACGGCUAACUACGUGCCAGCAGCCGCGGUAAUACGUAGGGGGCAAGCGUUAUUCGGAUGUAUUGGGUGUAAAGGGCGUGUAGGCGGGAAUGUAAGUCAGAUGUGAAAACUAUGGGCUCAACCCAUAGCCUGCAUUUGAAACUGUAUUUCUUGAGUGCUGGAGAGGCAAGCGGAAUUCGGGGUGUAGCGGUGAAAUGCGUAGAUAUACGGAGGAACACCAGUGGCGAAGGCGGAUUGCUGGACAGUAACUGACGCUGAGGCGCGAAAGCGUGGGGAGCAAACAGGAUUAGAUACCCGAGUAGUC
Molecule: ribosomal RNA, 443 nt
Filed under: uncultured bacterium
Lineage: Bacteria
Description: partial 16S ribosomal RNA
Rfam family: Bacterial small subunit ribosomal RNA
Source: RNAcentral